Long non-coding RNA from Brienomyrus brachyistius, 635 nucleotides. RefSeq lists it as uncharacterized. NCBI's taxonomy places the organism in Eukaryota, Metazoa, Chordata, Actinopteri, Osteoglossiformes, Mormyridae. The transcript has 4 exons. The record is from RefSeq and is a predicted model, not a curated record.
CGUACGUAGGAUGUGUGGAGUACGCACGAUUUUAGAGAAUACGGAGUGCCUAAGUCGUAAGACCUUUCAAAUUCCGGAUUCGCGCUGCAGAGUGUCCAUAUUUUUGACCACACUCCCGAUUACCAAGUGGAAGUAUCCUUAAAUGGUCAGACUUGACCCUUGGAGGCGAUGAAGCGCUGAAUCAAGCAAAUUGCAUCGUUGUCACCAGCUUCAAGACACUUUUAAUAGUGUUCUGAGUCCUUGGAAGACAUCCAUGGAAAUCUCCUCCAGCGGCGAUUGCCUAUAAAAACACCGUAAAAGGAUAUACCAAUUUUGCCGGGCGGUGGUCAACCUGGACCGAAUGAUCUAUGAUGGGACAAGGUCUCGGUGACCACGCCCACCACCACGGAGGGACAUUUGUAAUGGUGUCACCGAAGCUGAUGUCUGAACUAUAUGCCUAGCACACCUUAUCUCAGUAACAUCAGCCUUGGAACUGAUUAGUAUGAACAUGGAUUACCGAGAAAUACUUUCUGAACAGAAUUAGACUAAUUUGAGAAAUCAGGAGUUGUGAUAAGAAUGUAAUGUCUUUAUUUGUGAUUUCGGUUUUCCUGCAUCUAAAUAGUACCUGUGAACUUGCUGACAGCACUGUGAAACGU